MicroRNA precursor from Leersia perrieri, 207 nucleotides. It matches the Rfam family "MIR812 microRNA precursor family". The record is from Rfam. Lineage: Eukaryota; Viridiplantae; Streptophyta; Magnoliopsida; Poales; Poaceae.
AAUAUAAGCAUUUGUUGACUUUCAGAUGUCACGUUUGACCAUCUGUCUUAUUCAAAAAUUUUGUAAAUAUAUUAUUUAUUUUGUUAUGAUUUGUUUUAUCAUUAGGUAUACUUCAAGUAUGACUUAUUUGUUUUAAUAUUUCUAUAGAUUUUUUAAAUAAGACGGAUGGUCAAACGUGAUAUACGGAAAUCAAUAAAUGCUUAUAUU